GUCCCCAUCGUCUAGCCUGGCCUAGGACAUGAGCUUUUCAAGCUCACGACACCGGUUCAAAUCCGGUUGGGGACGCUA
Molecule: transfer RNA, 78 nt
Filed under: Candidatus Omnitrophota bacterium
Lineage: Bacteria; Pseudomonadati; Candidatus Omnitrophota
Description: Candidatus Omnitrophica bacterium tRNA-Glu
Rfam family: tRNA
About the family: Transfer RNA (tRNA) molecules are approximately 80 nucleotides in length. Their secondary structure includes four short double-helical elements and three loops (D, anti-codon, and T loops).
Source: RNAcentral